RNAcentral lists this ribosomal RNA (273 nucleotides) under uncultured bacterium. Its description in RNAcentral is "partial 16S ribosomal RNA". It matches the Rfam family "Bacterial small subunit ribosomal RNA", at positions 524 to 796 of the family's 1533-position model. The record is from RNAcentral.
UACGGAGGGGGCUAGCGUUGUUCGGAAUUACUGGGCGUAAAGCGCGCGUAGGCGGACCUGCAAGUCGGGGGUGAAAGCCCGAGGCUCAACCUCGGAACUGCCUUCGAUACUGCGGGUCUCGAGUCCGGGAGAGGUGAGUGGAAUUCCUAGUGUAGAGGUGAAAUUCGUAGAUAUUAGGAAGAACACCAGUGGCGAAGGCGGCUCACUGGCCCGGUACUGACGCUGAGGCGCGAAAGCGUGGGGAGCAAACAGGAUUAGAAACCCCCGUAGUCC